Mauremys mutica (yellowpond turtle) is the source of this 196-nucleotide small nuclear RNA. RefSeq annotates it as U2 spliceosomal RNA. NCBI's taxonomy places the organism in Eukaryota, Metazoa, Chordata, Testudines, Geoemydidae. The record is from RefSeq and is a predicted model, not a curated record. The transcript has a single exon.
AGUGCAUCAGGUGAAUUGGUGGUCACCUGAGAAGUGUAGUAUCUGUUCUUAUCAGUUUAAUAUCUGAUAUGUCCUUUAUUUGAGGACUGUAUAUUAAAUUGAUUUUUGAAACAGGGGGCUGGAAUAGGAGCUUGCUCUGUCCACCCCAUGCAUUGACCUGGUAUUGCAGUGCCUCCAGAAAAAGAAAGCCCUGCAU